Molecule: long non-coding RNA, 233 nt
Filed under: Panax ginseng (ginseng)
Lineage: Eukaryota; Viridiplantae; Streptophyta; Magnoliopsida; Apiales; Araliaceae
Description: long non-coding RNA (PGIN_LNC003853)
Source: RNAcentral
AUAUACUCACUCGGUUCCUAUAUAACUGACGCUUUAGAGAAAAAAAUUAAUUUCUAAAUAAUUGACGUUUUCAUAUUUCUAGAAGGUUUUUUCUUUUAUUUUCCUAGAUUAUCCCUAAAACAUCUCAUCUUUCCAAGUGCAAGACUCCUAUUUAAUUUCAACCUUUUCUUUUACAAUACGUGUGUUCCCAAUUUAUUCUUUUUCUCAGAAUUCUAAACGUCACUCAAUAUGGC